ACCUACGGGGGGCAGCAGUGAGGAAUAUUGGUCAAUGGGCGCGAGCCUGAACCAGCCAAGUCGCGUGAGGGAAGACGGUCCUAUGGAUUGUAAACCUCUUUUGUCGGGGAGCAAAAGACGCCACGUGUGGCGUUCCGAGAGUACCCGAAGAAAAAGCAUCGGCUAACUCCGUGCCAGCAGCCGCGGUAAUACGGAGGAUCCUAGCGUUAUCCGGAUUUAUUGGGUUUAAAGGGAGCGUAGGUGGAUUGUUAAGUCAGUUGUGAAAGUUUGCGGCUCAACCGUAAAAUUGAAGUUGAAACUGGCAG
Molecule: ribosomal RNA, 305 nt
Filed under: uncultured bacterium
Lineage: Bacteria
Description: bacterial SSU rRNA
Rfam family: Bacterial small subunit ribosomal RNA
Source: RNAcentral